AUUACAAACGGUAAAAUAUGCAGCCGAUCUGAUAGGUUACAGGAGCACUGAGCAGCAUAGAGCUCCCUCUCGCGGAUGGUAAUGUUUUCCCUUGGUUCUAAAUAAAUGCGACUUAUAGUCCAGUGCGACUUAUAUAUGAUUUUUUCCUCGUCAUGAUGUAUUUUUGGACUGAUGCAACUUAUACUUAGGUGCGACUUAUAGUCCGAAAAAUUCGGUAAAUUUCCCUACAUGGAUCAGUAAAAGUAAUCCACCAAAUGACGGGUCACUAUGAACAUUCACGUCACUCUAAAAUGACGACACACCCACAGCAGCAAAACUGUACAAAUGCUGGACAUCCACACACCACGCCACAGUAUUAUCAACCAUCACAUACACCUCCAUAACAAUGUGCAUGAAUCAAUACUCGUCAAAUAAUAAAGCACUCACCUGUUACUUGUAAAUAAAGUCUGUGCAUCUGUCACUCCAUGUCCCUUUACUCUUAUUAAAAAAAUAAACAUGGCCAAAUAACUUGUUGUGCUAGGUGCUAGCUGUUAGCCACUCAUAGUUGCAACCUUUGAAAUGGCACACAAAACCGUUGUUAGCGAAUUCAGUUUAAGUAGUUUAUCCUUCAGUUAAUCCUCUUUUGUCUGCAAAAGAGCUCCUUGAAAAGGGAGAUCGGCAACACGAUCUGGUGUAGGUGUCGGCGACAGCGGCAUGGAAAUUCCCAACUAAACGCUGUGCGCAGUGUUGCCAAAUUGGGCUACUUUAACAAUGUUGCCGUGGGUUGUUUUCAUGUCUGCUGGUUGAAGCGACCUCAGUGACAUGAUAUUUAGCCCCUGGAAUGUGAAUUUUACCAGGGGAACCCUGCCAAAAAUAUGUAUUUUACUCCUGGAAUGCGAUUUUAACGGGGGAUACCCCGAAACACGAUUGGGUGGGUUUUGUCGAGAAAACCUGGCAACCCUGGCUGGGGGAAUCACUGGGCACGUAGCUGGUCCCAGAGGGCGUGCUGUUUAUGGAACAUCAAAAUUUGAUUGGCUGAUGAUUCUGUCAUUAAUGCUUGUUACAAAUCAGAUUUGACGUCUUUGACCUAAAGGGAAGCACUAUCUGUAGUGCUGGUGUAUUACAGUCUAUGUGCUGGCCGCAGACUUUUUUUUUUUUUAUGUAGGAUAUUCCAGUUCAACCUCAACAAAACAAAUCAUAGGCCAUUCUGUGGACAUUACACAAAUGAAAAAUGAUACCUAAAUAAUAAUAAAAACCUUUUUUACACAAUUUUAUUUUUAUAGGGCAAGCAGAGAAGGCCCUGCUGGCCCUGACGGCCCACCACUGCUUAAAUUUUAUUUAAUGUCUUCUAGAUUUUCUGGCUGUGAUCUCUCAGAUCAGCAUUGUGAAAUUGUGUCUUCAGCUCUACAAUCCUCAAACUCUGUCCUGAAAGAGCUGGAUCUGAAUAACAAUGAUCUACAGGACUCUGGUGUAAAGAUUAUCUCUGACGGACUGAAGAGUAAAAACUGUCAGCUGGAGAUUCUGAGUCUUGCUGUCUGUAAUCUCAAGUGUUGUGAGAGUUUGUAGUCAGCUCUACAAUCCUCAAACUCUGUCCUGAGAGAGCUGGAUCUGAGUAACAAUGACCUGCAGGACUCUGGUGUAAAGUUAAUUUCUGAUGGACUGAAGAUGCCAAACUGUCAGCUACAGAUACUGAGGUUGUCUGGCUGUAUCAUCACAGAGGAAGGCUGUGGUUAUUUGUCUUCAGCUCUGAGUUCA
Long non-coding RNA from Cyprinus carpio (common carp), 1734 nucleotides. RefSeq lists it as uncharacterized. The record is from RefSeq and is a predicted model, not a curated record. The transcript is spliced from 3 exons. NCBI's taxonomy places the organism in Eukaryota, Metazoa, Chordata, Actinopteri, Cypriniformes, Cyprinidae.